Molecule: ribosomal RNA, 251 nt
Filed under: uncultured bacterium
Lineage: Bacteria
Description: partial 16S ribosomal RNA
Rfam family: Bacterial small subunit ribosomal RNA
Source: RNAcentral
UACGUAGGGGGCAAGCGUUAUCCGGAAUUACUGGGUGUAAAGGGAGCGUAGACGGCAAUGCAAGUUCGGAGUGGAAUGCAUCAGCUCAACUGAUGAACUGCUCUGAAAACUGUAUAGCUAGAGUGCAGGAGGGGUAAGCGGAAUUCCUGGUGUAGCGGUGAAAUGCGUAGAUAUCAGGAGGAACACCGGUGGCGAAGGCGGCUUACUGGACUGUAACUGACGUUGAGGCUCGAAAGCGUGGGGAGCAAACA